UCUACGGGAGGCAGCAGUGAGGAAUAUUGGUCAAUGGACGCAAGUCUGAACCAGCCAUGCCGCGUGCAGGAAGACGGCUCUAUGAGUUGUAAACUGCUUUUGUACGAGGGUAAAUCCCGAUACGUGUAUCGGGUUUAAAGUAUCGUACGAAUAAGGAUCGGCUAACUCCGUGCCAGCAGCCGCGGUAAUACGGAGGAUUCAAGCUUUAUCCGGAUUUAUUUGGUUGAAAGGGUGCGUAGGCGGUUCGUUAAGUUAGAGGUGACAUCCCGGGGCUCAACUCCGGCACUGCCUCUGAUACUGUCGGGCUAGAGUUUAGUUGCGGUAGGCGGAAUGUAUGGUGUAGCGGUGAAAUGCAUAGAGAUCAUACAGAACACCGAUUGCGAAGGCAGCUUACCAAACUACGACUGACGUUGAGGCACGAAAGCGUGGGGAGCAAACAGGAUUAGAUACCCCUGUAGUC
This 460-nucleotide ribosomal RNA is filed under the name uncultured bacterium. RNAcentral's name for it is "partial 16S ribosomal RNA". It matches the Rfam family "Bacterial small subunit ribosomal RNA", at positions 338 to 795 of the family's 1533-position model. The record is from RNAcentral.